CGUGCGUGUGAGGCGGCGUUUUCGCGACUGGGGGGAGGGAUUUUUAUUAUUAUUAUUAUUAUUAUUAUCGCGAUUAUUAUUUUGGGUGGGAGCGGCCGCCCGGAGCGCGAGGCCGGGGGGAGCCGGGGUGGGGGCCGGGAGCCGCCCCCAUUUUGUGGCCGCUUCGUCGGAGCGGCCGCACGCGAGAGCGUGAGAGAAAAAGUUGGAGCGCGGGGCCGGGCUGCUGCGGGUGGGGGGCGACGCGGCGCUGCCCUCCGCGGGCAGGGGCACCCCUCCGUCGGGCGAUCAGCGCGUCCAGAUUGGCUGCGAGCGGCCGAGGAGCGAAUCCCGCAGCCCCCUCGGGAAAGAGAGCGCGCCCCCUCCUCCUCCUCUUCCUCCUCCUCGCUGGGGGAGGGGAGGAGGGAGGAGAAGGUAAAAUUUUCCCCUUCCACGCGGAGCCGGCCGCCCUUUCCCGGAUCCCCGUCUCGGGGGGAGGGGGGGGCGGGAGUGAGGGGGGGUGGGGAAGGACCCGGUAAACAAGCGGAGUCCCUCUCCGGUUGUGCAACUUCCUCAGGAACCCUCGGCACCCAGUUCCUCUCCCACCCUCGCUCGCACCGCGCUCGCCCCCGCGCCGGCCGGGGGUCCGUCUCUUGCCGCGCGCUCCCGUCGCUCCGGGCCGGGGGGAAGGAGGGGGGAGAGAGAAAACGGCGGGGAGCGGCGGGAGAAGCGCGCUCCCUCCGCUCCAGCGCUGCCGGCUCGCGACCGUCGGAGCGGGCGGCCGCUUUGUCUCGUCGCUCCUGCCCGAGCCCCGGCGAAACGCGGACCCGAGCACUCCGGGUUUUUCUCCGCCAGAAAGUUUCGAGUGCGGCAAAACACGCCGCAAAACUGGCCAAGGAGGGACCUCUGGCGGUAGGCCGCGGGCAGCCGGCGGCCGCGCCCGGCGGGCCCCGCGUCGCUGCGCUCCGGCGGCGCGGCUCCAGGCCGAGCGCGGCGGGGUGCGGGCUCGGAGCGGCCCGGGCCGGCCCCACGCACCGCCGUCGGCCGCCCCGUUGUUCGCGGCGCUCGGAGGCGCUGAGUAACGCUUCCUGGAAACGCGGCCCCGCGGGAUGCGUUGGGGAAGGCCGUGACGCGCGGAUCCGUGCGGUGACCCGCGGGCAGCGGGACGGGCUGCGCGAUCCGUGA
Molecule: long non-coding RNA, 1161 nt
Filed under: Coturnix japonica (Japanese quail)
Lineage: Eukaryota; Metazoa; Chordata; Aves; Galliformes; Phasianidae
Description: lncRNA (ENSCJPG00005008934.1)
Source: RNAcentral